Molecule: ribosomal RNA, 2787 nt
Filed under: Escherichia coli
Lineage: Bacteria; Pseudomonadati; Pseudomonadota; Gammaproteobacteria; Enterobacterales; Enterobacteriaceae
Description: bacterial LSU rRNA
Rfam family: Bacterial large subunit ribosomal RNA
Source: RNAcentral
AGCGUACACGGUGGAUGCCCUGGCAGUCAGAGGCGAUGAAGGACGUGCUAAUCUGCGAUAAGCGUCGGUAAGGUGAUAUGAACCGUUAUAACCGGCGAUUUCCGAAUGGGGAAACCCAGUGUGAUUCGUCACACUAUCAUUAACUGAAUCCAUAGGUUAAUGAGGCGAACCGGGGGAACUGAAACAUCUAAGUACCCCGAGGAAAAGAAAUCAACCGAGAUUCCCCCAGUAGCGGCGAGCGAACGGGGAGCAGCCCAGAGCCUGAAUCAGUGUGUGUGUUAGUGGAAGCGUCUGGAAAGGCGCGCGAUACAGGGUGACAGCCCCGUACACAAAAAUGCACAUGCUGUGAGCUCGAUGAGUAGGGCGGGACACGUGGUAUCCUGUCUGAAUAUGGGGGGACCAUCCUCCAAGGCUAAAUACUCCUGACUGACCGAUAGUGAACCAGUACCGUGAGGGAAAGGCGAAAAGAACCCCGGCGAGGGGAGUGAAAAAGAACCUGAAACCGUGUACGUACAAGCAGUGGGAGCACGCUUCGGCGUGUGACUGCGUACCUUUUGUAUAAUGGGUCAGCGACUUAUAUUCUGUAGCAAGGUUAACCGAAUAGGGGAGCCGAAGGGAAACCGAGUCUUAACUGGGCGUUAAGUUGCAGGGUAUAGACCCGAAACCCGGUGAUCUAGCCAUGGGCAGGUUGAAGGUUGGGUAACACUAACUGGAGGACCGAACCGACUAAUGUUGAAAAAUUAGCGGAUGACUUGUGGCUGGGGGUGAAAGGCCAAUCAAACCGGGAGAUAGCUGGUUCUCCCCGAAAGCUAUUUAGGUAGCGCCUCGUGAAUUCAUCUCCGGGGGUAGAGCACUGUUUCGGCAAGGGGGUCAUCCCGACUUACCAACCCGAUGCAAACUGCGAAUACCGGAGAAUGUUAUCACGGGAGACACACGGCGGGUGCUAACGUCCGUCGUGAAGAGGGAAACAACCCAGACCGCCAGCUAAGGUCCCAAAGUCAUGGUUAAGUGGGAAACGAUGUGGGAAGGCCCAGACAGCCAGGAUGUUGGCUUAGAAGCAGCCAUCAUUUAAAGAAAGCGUAAUAGCUCACUGGUCGAGUCGGCCUGCGCGGAAGAUGUAACGGGGCUAAACCAUGCACCGAAGCUGCGGCAGCGACGCUGAUGCGUUGUUGGGUAGGGGAGCGUUCUGUAAGCCUGUGAAGGUGUGCUGUGAGGCAUGCUGGAGGUAUCAGAAGUGCGAAUGCUGACAUAAGUAACGAUAAAGCGGGUGAAAAGCCCGCUCGCCGGAAGACCAAGGGUUCCUGUCCAACGUUAAUCGGGGCAGGGUGAGUCGACCCCUAAGGCGAGGCCGAAAGGCGUAGUCGAUGGGAAACAGGUUAAUAUUCCUGUACUUGGUGUUACUGCGAAGGGGGGACGGAGAAGGCUAUGUUGGCCGGGCGACGGUUGUCCCGGUUUAAGCGUGUAGGCUGGUUUUCCAGGCAAAUCCGGAAAAUCAAGGCUGAGGCGUGAUGACGAGGCACUACGGUGCUGAAGCAACAAAUGCCCUGCUUCCAGGAAAAGCCUCUAAGCAUCAGGUAACAUCAAAUCGUACCCCAAACCGACACAGGUGGUCAGGUAGAGAAUACCAAGGCGCUUGAGAGAACUCGGGUGAAGGAACUAGGCAAAAUGGUGCCGUAACUUCGGGAGAAGGCACGCUGAUAUGUAGGUGAAGUCCCUCGCGGAUGGAGCUGAAAUCAGUCGAAGAUACCAGCUGGCUGCAACUGUUUAUUAAAAACACAGCACUGUGCAAACACGAAAGUGGACGUAUACGGUGUGACGCCUGCCCGGUGCCGGAAGGUUAAUUGAUGGGGUCAGCGCAAGCGAAGCUCUUGAUCGAAGCCCCGGUAAACGGCGGCCGUAACUAUAACGGUCCUAAGGUAGCGAAAUUCCUUGUCGGGUAAGUUCCGACCUGCACGAAUGGCGUAAUGAUGGCCAGGCUGUCUCCACCCGAGACUCAGUGAAAUUGAACUCGCUGUGAAGAUGCAGUGUACCCGCGGCAAGACGGAAAGACCCCGUGAACCUUUACUAUAGCUUGACACUGAACAUUGAGCCUUGAUGUGUAGGAUAGGUGGGAGGCUUUGAAGUGUGGACGCCAGUCUGCAUGGAGCCGACCUUGAAAUACCACCCUUUAAUGUUUGAUGUUCUAACGUUGACCCGUAAUCCGGGUUGCGGACAGUGUCUGGUGGGUAGUUUGACUGGGGCGGUCUCCUCCUAAAGAGUAACGGAGGAGCACGAAGGUUGGCUAAUCCUGGUCGGACAUCAGGAGGUUAGUGCAAUGGCAUAAGCCAGCUUGACUGCGAGCGUGACGGCGCGAGCAGGUGCGAAAGCAGGUCAUAGUGAUCCGGUGGUUCUGAAUGGAAGGGCCAUCGCUCAACGGAUAAAAGGUACUCCGGGGAUAACAGGCUGAUACCGCCCAAGAGUUCAUAUCGACGGCGGUGUUUGGCACCUCGAUGUCGGCUCAUCACAUCCUGGGGCUGAAGUAGGUCCCAAGGGUAUGGCUGUUCGCCAUUUAAAGUGGUACGCGAGCUGGGUUUAGAACGUCGUGAGACAGUUCGGUCCCUAUCUGCCGUGGGCGCUGGAGAACUGAGGGGGGCUGCUCCUAGUACGAGAGGACCGGAGUGGACGCAUCACUGGUGUUCGGGUUGUCAUGCCAAUGGCACUGCCCGGUAGCUAAAUGCGGAAGAGAUAAGUGCUGAAAGCAUCUAAGCACGAAACUUGCCCCGAGAUGAGUUCUCCCUGACUCCUUGA